Molecule: ribosomal RNA, 484 nt
Filed under: uncultured bacterium
Lineage: Bacteria
Description: partial 16S ribosomal RNA
Rfam family: Bacterial small subunit ribosomal RNA
Source: RNAcentral
GACGAACGCUGGCGGCGUGCUUAACACAUGCAAGUCGAACGAUGAAGCCGGAGCUUGCUCUGGUGAAUUAGUGGCGAACGGGUGAGUAACACGUGAGUAACCUGCCCUUGACUCUAGGAUAACUGCGGGAAACUGUAGCUAAUACCGGAUACGACCCUCGGAGGCAUCUCCUGGGGGUGGAAAGAAUUUCGGUCAAGGAUGGACUCGCGGCCUAUCAGCUAGUUGGUGAGGUAAAGGCUCACCAAGGCGAGGACGGGUAGCCGGCCUGAGAGGGUGACCGGCCACACUGGGACUGAGACACGGCCCAGACGCCUACGGGAGGCAGCAGUGGGGAAUAUUGCACAAUGGGCGCAAGCCUGAUGCAGCAACGCCGCGUGAGGGAUGACGGCCUUCGGGUUGUAAACCUCUUUUAGCAGGGAAGAAGCGAAAGUGACGGUACCUGCAGAAAAAGCACCGGCUAACUACGUGCCAGCCGCCGCGGUAA